AUUCCUAUGAAAAAGCCAGAAUAAAGCUGUUGAAGUUUUGUAAAGGCAACAGUUUGGAGUCUACAGAUGAGGACAGUGUACGGAAAAGAGUACCAUCAUCAAAAUAUGUAAAUGGAUUUACAUCUAAUACAGCCUCAGGAAGACCUCCAGUGCAGGCCUCAACAAGCUGGCUCCACACAGAGACAAUGGAAAGACCAAAAAAAAAAAAAACUUCUGCAGUAAUGGAGCCAAAAGACUGAAAUUGCCAGCCAUACCACCAUUUGCACCAUCAGCAUCUGCUGUGACAGUCCCUGAACCAAGACAAGAUGGUACGUAGAAUUAUUCCAAACCUUUUACAAUAGGAGUUUUUAGUGUGACGGAUGUUAAUAAGGGUGUGCACUCACAAUGUAUAUUAAUGUAUUUCACUAAUGAUCCCUCCUUUCAAUUUUCAUGUAUUUAUUUUGUAUUUGCCGUUCACGAAAAUGUGAUAAUUUAGGUUUGUCCUUUAUUUGAGUCAUUUUUGGGAAAAGAGUUUUAUAUUGAUUUUACGUUGUGAUGUCAUAUCUGUUCAGCCCGCGCUGCGUCCUCAGACCGCGCUGAGCUCGCUGAGGAGAGGUAAGCAGUUAGCGGUGCUCCGCCAAUAUAAAGUUGUAAAAGUUACCAGAAUUGUUAAUAAGUACUUAAUAUGCUAAAAUAUUAUUGUUAAGAGUGUUACAAACGUACUGAAAAUUGUUUUAUGUGUGGAUGGAUGACAUCUAAUGGUUUAUCAUUGAGUACAGCGGUUUGAGUAUGUAUGUGCGUCAGUAGGACACAGUGAUUUUAGUGAAUCAAUUAACUGGUGUUGUAUCUGUCCAGGUGGAAAAAUCACAGAACGAAAACCUUUCUCAUUGUUGUACUCUCUCUGCUCCAUCCAGCACCUGCAUGCUUCAUUUCAAUAAACCCUCCAUCAGCAGCAGUUCCUGUGAUCCGUGUCUUCAUUUAUAACACAACGCAGAUCGAAACCGUGCCAUAGACAGGCCGGUUACAUUAGUAAUUUCCUUUUUAGUCUCUAACAUGGAUUAGAAACUGUUCAAGGAACAAAAUAAAAUGUAUGUAACCAAAAAUGAUAAUAAAACCAACUUC
Carassius auratus (goldfish) is the source of this 1101-nucleotide long non-coding RNA. RefSeq lists it as uncharacterized. The record is from RefSeq and is a predicted model, not a curated record. Lineage: Eukaryota; Metazoa; Chordata; Actinopteri; Cypriniformes; Cyprinidae. The transcript is spliced from 3 exons.